Long non-coding RNA from Helianthus annuus (common sunflower), 391 nucleotides. RefSeq lists it as uncharacterized. The transcript has 3 exons. The record is from RefSeq and is a predicted model, not a curated record. NCBI's taxonomy places the organism in Eukaryota, Viridiplantae, Streptophyta, Magnoliopsida, Asterales, Asteraceae.
GUGCUGGUUAUGAAUUUUGGUGUUGGAACUGCUUAUGAAUUUCGGAACUUGCUAAUCCCCAGACCUUUUCCAGUUAGAAGCUAUGGAGAGAACAUAGUUCAGAGGCUUUUGGAAAUUAAUGCAAUGGAGCUGAAAGUGAUCCGUGCCACCACGAGAAGGCUGACCAAAAUGAAAGAAAAAAUGGUAAUCUGGUUUAUAGUUGGGGGACUUGGCCUCGGUCAUCAAGAUCACCAAAUGGAACAAGCUAUAUAUGAGUCAUUUAAGUUUUGUGGAUUUCAUAACUUAUGUUUAUAUACUGUAAUGUUGUUUUCAUUUUGAUUCCUUAUGAAACAUGUCUGUAUGUUUUUGUAAUUCAACUUGAUUGAUGUUUUAUAAGUUUUGAAUGUCAUAG